This 164-nucleotide ribosomal RNA is filed under the name Escherichia coli. RNAcentral describes it as "partial 23S ribosomal RNA". It matches the Rfam family "Bacterial large subunit ribosomal RNA", at positions 1 to 156 of the family's 2925-position model. The record is from RNAcentral. Lineage: Bacteria; Pseudomonadati; Pseudomonadota; Gammaproteobacteria; Enterobacterales; Enterobacteriaceae. RNAcentral also lists the same sequence under 1 other name.
GGGUUGUGAGGUUAAGCGACUAAGCGUACACGGUGGAUGCCCUGGCAGUCAGAGGCGAUGAAGGACGUGCUAAUCUGCGAUAAGCGUCGGUAAGGUGAUAUGAACCGUUAUAACCGGCGAUUUCCGAAUGGGGAAACCCAGUGUGUUUCGACACACUAUCAUUA